UACGAAGGGGGCUAGCGUUGCUCGGAAUUACUGGGCGUAAAGCGCACGUAGGCGGUUUCUUAAGUCGGGGGUGAAAUCCUGGAGCUCAACUCCAGAACUGCCUUCGAUACUGGGAAACUUGAGUCCGGGAGAGGUGAGUGGAACUGCGAGUGUAGAGGUGAAAUUCGUAGAUAUUCGCAAGAACACCAGUGGCGAAGGCGGCUCACUGGCCCGGUACUGACGCUGAGGCACGAAAGCGUGGGGAGCAAACAGG
Molecule: ribosomal RNA, 253 nt
Filed under: uncultured bacterium
Lineage: Bacteria
Description: partial 16S ribosomal RNA
Rfam family: Bacterial small subunit ribosomal RNA
Source: RNAcentral